ACUCAAAUGAAUUGACGGGGGCCCGCACAAGCGGUGGAGCAUGUGGUUCAAUUCGAAGCAACGCGCAGAACCUUACCAGCUCUAGACUGUCUGGUUUUGGGUACCAGAGAUGGAACCCUUCAGUUCGGCUGGGCCAGAUUCAGGUGCUGCAUGGCUGUCGUCAGCUCGUGUCGUGAGAUGUUGGGUUAAGUCCCGCAACGAGCGCAACCCUCGCCCUUAGUUGCCAUCAUUCAGUUGGGCACUCUGAGGGGACUGCCGGUGAUAAGCCGGAGGAAGGUGGGGAUGACGUCAAGUCCUCAUGGCCCUUACGGGCUGGGCUACACACGUGCUACAAUGGCGGUGACAGAGGGACGCAAUGGAGCAAUCCUGCGCAAAUCUCAAAAAGCCGUCUCAGUUCGGAUUGGGCUCUGCAACUCGAGCCCAUGAAGUUGGAAUCGCUAGUAAUCGCAGAUCAGCACGCUGCGGUGAAUACGUUCCCGGGCCUUGCACACACCGCCCGU
This 500-nucleotide ribosomal RNA is filed under the name uncultured bacterium. Its description in RNAcentral is "partial 16S ribosomal RNA". It matches the Rfam family "Bacterial small subunit ribosomal RNA", at positions 899 to 1397 of the family's 1533-position model. The record is from RNAcentral.